Coregonus clupeaformis (lake whitefish) is the source of this 929-nucleotide long non-coding RNA. RefSeq lists it as uncharacterized. The record is from RefSeq and is a predicted model, not a curated record. The transcript is spliced from 3 exons. Lineage: Eukaryota; Metazoa; Chordata; Actinopteri; Salmoniformes; Salmonidae.
AAAAGUUGGUAGGCGGAACCUAACGCCUGAUUGGUUACCCUCUGCAUCAAGCCAAGACAAAUCAAUUCCGGAUAAUGGAUUGAUGCAGAGCUACUGAACACAUUCCAAUACACUGGGUGGCGCUAUUCACCUCUACGUUGGUUUAGUUACACGGUUAAACAGAACUUUCAUUGCAACGGCUAAAAAUCAAGAGAAGACUCGGUCCUGCUAGCCCCAAUGUUGAGACGCUGUGUGAGGUGCAGGACAAAAUGUCUAAAAGUUGCCUGGAGCUGCUGAGAGAAGCAGCGAAUUUGAUUGAGGAAGCUCUGAGCAGAAGUCCAACGGCUCCCGCGGCACCGGUGACUCCAGCAGCUCAGUCACAGCAGAUACCGGCCGCUCAAUCACGUACACCUGUCCAAGCGGAGGUAGCAAGGCUCUUUGCGCCAUAUAACAUUGGAGCCAGAAGGAAUAUGACGAGACGACCAGCACAAGUCCAAGUUAGCCGAAGAAGCUACACACACACUGUCUGUUGUUUGGCUGACCACAAUGCGGAUAAAAUUCCAAGCGUACUGUUUAAAGCUGAACUUCUUACUUCAGGACUUGGAGAGCAAAAAGUAACAUUUUCAGGUCAGUGCGAAACUAGGCAUUUACCAAAAGUAAAAAAAGUUUGUACUGUCUGUGGCUUGUUGAAAUUAUUUGCAUUUCUUUUUAUAGUGACUCAAACUUAAUUGGUGUUCAUAGUGUCAAUAAUAGUUAUCACAGGUCAGUCACCAAAACAAAUCGGAGAUGGCUACAUAACAAACUUCUACUCCAUGCAGUCGUUGGGAGGACCAUGCGCCAAAUUAAACAGUUGAGAAAGGGACUGAAAGAUGUGAUGGUAUGGCCCCUGCUGACAUCUAGGCCGGAUGUUGUACCACUUCUUUUCCCCAAAAUGGCUGAAAUGCAGUUCA